Molecule: unclassified non-coding RNA, 342 nt
Filed under: fungal sp.
Lineage: Eukaryota; Fungi
Description: partial internal transcribed spacer region
Rfam family: Eukaryotic small subunit ribosomal RNA (bases 1-46)
Source: RNAcentral
AAGUCGUAACAAGGUUUCCGUAGGUGAACCUGCGGAAGGAUCAUUAACACGUAUCCAACGUUAAAACCCCCCGUGAACCUUCAGUGUGCUCGUACGCUUUGUUAGAAAGUAGCAAUCCCUGGUAAAUCAUCGCCGAACAGUUUUGAUUCAGGGACUUCUGUGGCCUGGCAUCCUUGUCUGAAAGUGUCAAGGGUGGCGCAGUCACGAUCGCUAGAGGCCGACACGGCCGGCGACCGGGUCACCGGGCUCACGCCCCUUAAUAACCUUUGCAUGAAAACGGGCCUGCGCUUAAUUGUGCGGGCAUAAACCGAACAACUGUUAACAAUGGAUAUCUUGGUUCUC